RNAcentral lists this ribosomal RNA (448 nucleotides) under uncultured bacterium. Its description in RNAcentral is "bacterial SSU rRNA". It matches the Rfam family "Bacterial small subunit ribosomal RNA", at positions 330 to 794 of the family's 1533-position model. The record is from RNAcentral.
UCCAGACUCCUACGGGAGGCAGCAGUGGGGAAUAUUGCACAAUGGGGGAAACCCUGAUGCAGCGACGCCGCGUGAGUGAAGAAGUAUUUCGGUAUGUAAAGCUCUAUCAGCAGGGAAGAAGCAAGACGGUACCUGACUAAGAAGCCCCGGCUAACUACGUGCCAGCAGCCGCGGUAAUACGUAGGGGGCAAGCGUUAUCCGGAUUUACUGGGUGUAAAGGGAGCGUAGACGGUAUGGCAAGUCUGAAGUGAAAGCCCAGGGCUUAACCCUGGGACUGCUUUGGAAACUGUUAGACUAGAGUGCUGGAGAGGUAAGUGGAAUUCCUAGUGUAGCGGUGAAAUGCGUAGAUAUUAGGAGGAACACCAGUGGCGAAGGCGGCCUGCUGGGCUUUUACUGACGCUGAGGCUCGAAAGUGUGGGGAGCAAACAGGAUUAGAUACCCCGGUAGG